This 482-nucleotide ribosomal RNA is filed under the name uncultured bacterium. Its description in RNAcentral is "partial 16S ribosomal RNA". It matches the Rfam family "Bacterial small subunit ribosomal RNA", at positions 30 to 507 of the family's 1533-position model. The record is from RNAcentral.
AUUGAACGCUGGCGGCAUGCCUUACACAUGCAAGUCGAACGGUAACAGGUCUUCGGAUGCUGACGAGUGGCGAACGGGUGCGUAAUACAUCGGAACGUGCCCGAUCGUGGGGGAUAACGAGGCGAAAGCUUUGCUAAUACCGCAUACGAUCUACGGAUGAAAGCGGGGGAUCUUCGGACCUCGCGCGGACGGAGCGGCCGAUGGCAGAUUAGGUAGUUGGUGGGAUAAAAGCUUACCAAGCCGACGAUCUGUAGCUGGUCUGAGAGGAUGAUCAGCCACACUGGGACUGAGACACGGCCCAGACUCCUACGGGAGGCAGCAGUGGGGAAUUUUGGACAAUGGGCGAAAGCCUGAUCCAGCCAUGCCGCGUGCAGGAUGGAGGCCUUUGGGUUGUAAACUGCUUUUGUACGGAACGAAAAGCCUCUUUCUAAUAAAGAGGGGUCAUGACGGUACCGUAAGAAUAAGCACCGGCUAACUACGUG